Molecule: non-coding RNA, 168 nt
Filed under: Veillonella montpellierensis
Lineage: Bacteria; Bacillati; Bacillota; Negativicutes; Veillonellales; Veillonellaceae
Also listed under: 1 other name
Description: Lysine sequence
Rfam family: Lysine riboswitch aptamer
About the family: Riboswitches are metabolite binding domains within certain messenger RNAs that serve as precision sensors for their corresponding targets.
Source: RNAcentral
UACGGAGAUAGAGGCGCGAGAUGUAAUAGUAAUUUUGUGGAGUUUGGUAAGCAGAGAAGCAUAAUAAAAGGACUGAUCGCCGAAGUGAUAAUUAUACUAACGAUUAUUGCUGGUUAUAUACUUAAUAGGUAUGUGACUGUCAUCAUUUGAUGGAGUGCUAACUCAUUG